GGCCUCGUGGCUCAACUGGUGGCGCGUACGUUGUCCAAAAGCGCAAGAGGCGUCCGUGCGUGGGUUCGAAUCCCACUGAGGCUA
This 84-nucleotide transfer RNA is filed under the name Echinostoma caproni. It matches the Rfam family "tRNA". Rfam says of the family: Transfer RNA (tRNA) molecules are approximately 80 nucleotides in length. Their secondary structure includes four short double-helical elements and three loops (D, anti-codon, and T loops). Further hydrogen bonds mediate the characteristic L-shaped molecular structure. tRNAs have two regions of fundamental functional importance: the anti-codon, which is responsible for specific mRNA codon recognition, and the 3' end, to which the tRNAs corresponding amino acid is attached (by aminoacyl-tRNA synthetases). tRNAs cope with the degeneracy of the genetic code in two manners: having more than one tRNA (with a specific anti-codon) for a particular amino acid; and 'wobble' base-pairing, i.e. permitting non-standard base-pairing at the 3rd anti-codon position. Lineage: Eukaryota; Metazoa; Platyhelminthes; Trematoda; Plagiorchiida; Echinostomatidae. The record is from Rfam by way of RNAcentral.